UCGAGCGGAAGGCCCUUCGGGGUACUCGAGCGGCGAACGGGUGAGUAACACGUGAGUAACCUGCCCCUGACUCUGGGAUAAGCCUGGGAAACUGGGUCUAAUACCGGAUAUGACACUCCGCUUCAUGGUGUGGGUGUGGAAAGUUUUUUCGGUUGGGGAUGGGCUCGCGGCCUAUCAGCUUGUUGGUGGGGUGAUGGCCUACCAAGGCGACGACGGGUAGCCGGCCUGAGAGGGCGACCGGCCACACUGGGACUGAGACACGGCCCAGACUCCUACGGGAGGCAGCAGUGGGGAAUAUUGCGCAAUGGGCGGAAGCCUGACGCAGCGACGCCGCGUGGGGGAUGACGGCCUUCGGGUUGUAAACCUCUUUCAGCAGGGACGAAGUUGACGUGUACCUGUAGAAGAAGCGCCGGCUAACUACGUGCCAGCAGCCGCGGUAAUACGUAGGGCGCAAGCGUUGUCCGGAAUUAUUGGGCGUAAAGAGCUCGUAGGUGGCUUGUCGCGUCUGCCGUGAAAGCCCGUGGCUUAACUACGGGUCUGCGGUGGAUACGGGCAGGCUAGAGGCUGGUAGGGGCAAGCGGAAUUCCUGGUGUAGCGGUGAAAUGCGCAGAUAUCAGGAGGAACACCGGUGGCGAAGGCGGCUUGCUGGGCCAGUUCUGACGCUGAGGAGCGAAAGCGUGGGGAGCGAACAGGAUUAGAUACCCUGGUAGUCCACGCUGUAAACGUUGGGCGCUAGGUGUGGGGGUCUUCCACGAUUCCUGUGCCGUAGCUAACGCAUUAAGCGCCCCGCCUGGGGAGUACGGCCGCAAGGCUA
This 814-nucleotide ribosomal RNA is filed under the name Microbispora sp. 4PE.4. Its description in RNAcentral is "bacterial SSU rRNA". It matches the Rfam family "Bacterial small subunit ribosomal RNA", at positions 62 to 896 of the family's 1533-position model. Lineage: Bacteria; Bacillati; Actinomycetota; Actinomycetes; Streptosporangiales; Streptosporangiaceae. The record is from RNAcentral.